This 329-nucleotide unclassified non-coding RNA is filed under the name soil metagenome. RNAcentral's name for it is "partial contains 5.8S ribosomal RNA, internal transcribed spacer 2, and large subunit ribosomal RNA". The stretch from base 1 to 120 matches the Rfam family "5.8S ribosomal RNA", at positions 35 to 154 of the family's 154-position model. The record is from RNAcentral.
GAUGAAGAACGCAGCGAAAUGCGAUAAGUGAUGUGAAUUGCAGAAUUCAGUGAAUCAUCGAAUCUUUGAACGCACAUUGCGCCCCCUGGUAUUCCGGGGGGCAUGCCUGUCCGAGCGUCAUUACAACCCUCAAGCUCAGCUUGGUAUUGGGCCCCGCCGACCCGGCGGGCCCUAAAGUCAGUGGCGGUGCCGUCCGGCUCCGAGCGUAGUAAUUCUUCUCGCUCUGGAGGUCCGGUCGUGUGCUCGCCAGCAACCCCCAAUUUUUUUCAGGUUGACCUCGGAUCAGGUAGGGAUACCCGCUGAACUUAAGCAUAUCAAUAAGCGGAGGA